Molecule: transfer RNA, 72 nt
Filed under: bacterium
Lineage: Bacteria
Description: tRNA-Arg
Rfam family: tRNA
About the family: Transfer RNA (tRNA) molecules are approximately 80 nucleotides in length. Their secondary structure includes four short double-helical elements and three loops (D, anti-codon, and T loops).
Source: RNAcentral
GCUCCCAUAGUUCAAUGGAUAGAACGUGGCCUUGCGGAGGCUAAAAUCGAGGUUCGAAUCCUCGUGGGAGCA